This 426-nucleotide ribosomal RNA is filed under the name uncultured bacterium. Its description in RNAcentral is "partial 16S ribosomal RNA". It matches the Rfam family "Bacterial small subunit ribosomal RNA", at positions 355 to 774 of the family's 1533-position model. The record is from RNAcentral.
UGGGGAAUAUUGGACAAUGGGCGAAAGCCUGAUCCAGCAAUACCGCGUGUGUGAAGAAGGCCUUCGGGUUGUAAAGCACUUUAAGUUGGGAAGAAAAAACUUUACCUAAUACGUGAAGUCUUGACGGUACCGACAGAAUAAGCACCGGCUAACUCUGUGCCAGCAGCCGCGGUAAUACAGAGGGUGCUAGCGUUAAUCGGAUUUACUGGGCGUAAAGCGUGCGUAGGUGGUUUGAUAAGUCGGUUGUGAAAGCCCCGGGCUCAACCGGGGAAUUGCGGCCGAUACUGUCAGACUCGAAAACGGUAGAGGGAGGUGGAACUCCAGGUGUAGCGGUGAAAUGCGUAGAUAUCUGGAAGAACAUCGAUGGCGAAGGCAGCCUCCUGGGCCUGUUUUGACACUGAGGCACGAAAGCGUGGGUAGCAAACA